GGAUUGAGUUACCUAGCGGCGGACGGGUGAGUAACGCGUGGGUAACCUGCCUCAUACAGGGGGAUAACAGUUAGAAAUGACUGCUAAUACCGCAUAAGACCACAGGGUCGCAUGACCCGGUGGUAAAAACUCCGGUGGUAUGAGAUGGACCCGCGUCUGAUUAGCUAGUUGGUGGGGUAACGGCUCACCAAGGCGACGAUCAGUAGCCGACCUGAGAGGGUGACCGGCCACAUUGGGACUGAGACACGGCCCAAACUCCUACGGGAGGCAGCAGUGGGGAAUAUUGCACAAUGGGCGAAAGCCUGAUGCAGCGACGCCGCGUGAAGGAUGAAGUAUUUCGGUAUGUAAACUUCUAUCAGCAGGGAAGAAAAUGACGGUACCUGACUAAGAAGCCCCGGCUAACUACGUGCCAGCAGCCGCGGUAAUACGUAGGGGGCAAGCGUUAUCCGGAUUUACUGGGUGUAAAGGGAGCGUAGACGGCAUGGCAAGUCUGAAGUGAAAGCCCGGGGCUCAACCCCGGGACUGCUUUGGAAACUGUCAGGCUAGAGUGCUGGAGAGGUAAGUGGAAUUCCUAGUGUAGCGGUGAAAUGCGUAGAUAUUAGGAGGAACACCAGUGGCGAAG
Molecule: ribosomal RNA, 622 nt
Filed under: uncultured Lachnospiraceae bacterium
Lineage: Bacteria; Bacillati; Bacillota; Clostridia; Lachnospirales; Lachnospiraceae
Description: bacterial SSU rRNA
Rfam family: Bacterial small subunit ribosomal RNA
Source: RNAcentral